RNAcentral lists this ribosomal RNA (452 nucleotides) under Streptococcus sp. oral taxon 070. RNAcentral's name for it is "bacterial SSU rRNA". It matches the Rfam family "Bacterial small subunit ribosomal RNA", at positions 28 to 471 of the family's 1533-position model. The record is from RNAcentral. Lineage: Bacteria; Bacillati; Bacillota; Bacilli; Lactobacillales; Streptococcaceae.
GACGAACGCUGGCGGCGUGCCUAAUACAUGCAAGAAGAACGCUGAAGCUUGGUGCUUGCACCGAGCGGAUGAGUUGCGAACGGGUAAGUAACGCGUAGGUAACCUGCCUGGUAGCGGGGGAUAACUAUUGGAAACGAUAGCUAAUACCGCAUAAAAUGGAUUAUCGCAUGAUAAUCGAUUGAAAGGUGCAAAUGCAUCACUACCAGAUGGACCUGCGUUGUAUUAGCUAGUUGGUGGGGUAACGGCUCACCAAGGCGACGAUACAUAGCCGACCUGAGUGGGUGAUCGGCCACGCUGGGACUGAGACACGGCCCAGACUCCUACGGGAGGCAGCAGUAGGGAAUCUUCGGCAAUGGACGGAAGUCUGACCGAGCAACGCCGCGUGAAUGAAGAAGGUUUUCGGAUCGUAAAGCUCUGUUGUAAGAGAAGAAACGAGUGUGAGAAGUGGAAAG